AAGGCCAGCCCUCCCCUAGAAGGAGGCACCUGCAACAUCAAGUUUUAGUUCAGAGGCUACAUAAAGAUCAAGAUCAUCCUGAUCCCCGAGGCCCGGGCGCACGCGCGUCAUGUAAACAAAGUACAAACAUACUCCCACAGUCCCACAGCCUGCCCUACACGACCCCAGCAAACACACAAGAACAAGCUAUAGAGCUACAUCGUCGAUACCCUUACAACUACAAGCUAUAGCAAAUGACUGCUGCGAGGGGAGGCUUGGCUAGCUGACUAACUGAAAUAAGCCUCAAGAUCAAUGCAAACCGCAAGACCUUACACCAUAUAUAAUACAAUGAAGGAUAUUAUUGUUACUACUGUUCAUCCAAGCCAGCAUCACCACCACCACCACCACCACCACCACUUCAAGCUUCGUUAAAGCACUCAUCCAGGUGGAGGUAGAACCAGUGGGACGAUGGUUCCACAUAUAUGAGGCACGGCGUCUGCGGGGCCACCUCACCUCCUCAGUUGGGGAAAGUGAAGAGGAGAGUGAGGAGGAGGAGGCUCAGGAGGUGGAGGUGGAGGAUGACAUACACUAUCUUCGCUCUCUCAACCCAGCAGACUGGAAGGACCAGGAUCAUUAUGCAGUACUGGGACUCCGAAAGCACAGGUACAAGGCCUCUGAUGAUGACAUCAAAAGAGCGUACCGCAUGAUGGUUCUGUGGCACCACCCAGACAAGCGGCGAGCAGCUGGGGAGGAGGUGAGGGAUGACGAUGACUACUUCACCUGCAUCACCAAAGCCUAUGAGAUUCUUCGGG
Scylla paramamosain (green mud crab) is the source of this 791-nucleotide long non-coding RNA. RefSeq lists it as uncharacterized. The transcript has 5 exons. NCBI's taxonomy places the organism in Eukaryota, Metazoa, Arthropoda, Malacostraca, Decapoda, Portunidae. The record is from RefSeq and is a predicted model, not a curated record.